This 664-nucleotide ribosomal RNA is filed under the name fungal sp. RNAcentral describes it as "partial large subunit ribosomal RNA". It matches the Rfam family "Eukaryotic large subunit ribosomal RNA", at positions 87 to 787 of the family's 3401-position model. The record is from RNAcentral. Lineage: Eukaryota; Fungi.
CGGCGAGUGAAGCGGCAACAGCUCAAAUUUGAAAUCUGGCGCAAGCCCGAGUUGUAAUUUGUAGAGGAUGUUUCUGGCGACGUGCCUUCCGAGUUCCCUGGAACGGGACGCCAUAGAGGGUGAGAGCCCCGUACGGUUGGAUGCCUAGCCUCUGUGAAACUCCUUCGACGAGUCGAGUAGUUUGGGAAUGCUGCUCUAAAUGGGAGGUAUACGUCUUCUAAAGCUAAAUACCGGCCAGAGACCGAUAGCGCACAAGUAGAGUGAUCGAAAGAUGAAAAGCACUUUGAAAAGAGGGUUAAAAAGUACGUGAAAUUGUUGAAAGGGAAGCGUUCAUGACCAGACUUGGGCAGGUUGAUCAUCCGUGGUUCUCCGCGGUGCACUCUGCCUGCCCAGGCCAGCAUCAGUUCGCCCCGGGGGAUAAAGACUUUGGGAAUGUGGCUCCCUCGGGAGUGUUAUAGCCCACUGUGUAAUACCCUGGGGUGGACUGAGGUUCGCGCUCUGCAAGGAUGCUGGCGUAAUGGUCAUCAACGACCCGUCUUGAAACACGGACCAAGGAGUCGUCUUCGUAUGCGAGUGUUCGGGUGUCAAACCCCUACGCGUAAUGAAAGUGAACGUAGGAGAGAGCUUCGGCGCAUCUCCGACCGAUCCUGAUGUUCUCGGAUGG